AUCCUCAGUCUCUCUCACUGCCCCUCCCCCGUGAUCCACUCUCUCUCUCAGAUCCUCUGUCUGACGGUGACUGAUCGCCUCAGAAGCUGCAUCUGCCUGGUUUUCUCCGGAUGUGAGUGCGGCCCGAACCUGUUCUUUUCUAGUGUGUUGACCUUAUUGUACGAAUACAAGUGUGCAUCCUACUCGUGGUAGUACAACGGAAGCAGCAUUUCAGUGUGUAGGUGACACUAAACAUAGAAAAAAUGUAAACUGUGAGGAUAGACUGGAACUCCAAAAGGACAUUCGUGGAAUGGGUGGAUAGGAGGCAAGAUGAACCUCAAUACAGAGUAGUGUGAGGUGAUGUACUUUGAUUGGAAGGUCACUGUAAU
Molecule: long non-coding RNA, 368 nt
Organism: Chiloscyllium plagiosum (whitespotted bambooshark)
Lineage: Eukaryota; Metazoa; Chordata; Chondrichthyes; Orectolobiformes; Hemiscylliidae
Source: RefSeq, a predicted model, not a curated record